GGGGGUUGGUGUUGGGAAUAAGAAGAAGACAUGUCAAAAUAUUAUUCUCAAGUAGCAUAAUAAACAUCCAAAAUAUUUUUGCACUUCUUCACUCACACAAGUGUUACACACAUGCAAACCUAAUGUUUGCAUGUGCGUAAAUUUUAGAAAAAACCUCCUAAUUGACUGGUUAAUGUUGCAUUGAAUUUUAUGGUUUUGUAAUCUUAGCUACACCUGUUUUGUCCUCAAAAUUGCAAGUAUAUAGCAACCAAAUGCAAGUCUUGAUAUCUGAUUAUCAUCAUUUCAUGCCUUUUCUUGUGUCUUAUAUGAUUCUCUAAUUUUAUCAGUGUAGACAAAUAAAGCUGAAAGGGACAAUAGAUUUAGCCUGCCCUCUUUUAAAAUUAGAAUAAUUUUGUGGAGAUUGUCCUCAAAAUUGCAAGUAUCUAGCAACCAAAUGCAAGUCUUGAUAUCUGAUUAUCAUCAUUUCAUGCCUUUUCUUGUGUCUUAUAUGAUUCUCUAAUUUUAUCAGUGUAGACAAAUAAAGCUGAAAGGGACAAUAGAUUUAG
This 545-nucleotide unclassified non-coding RNA is filed under the name Hevea brasiliensis (rubber tree). Lineage: Eukaryota; Viridiplantae; Streptophyta; Magnoliopsida; Malpighiales; Euphorbiaceae. The record is from RNAcentral.